AUUGAACGCUGGCGGCAUGCCUAACACAUGCAAGUCGAACGGCAGCACAGUAUGUAGCAAUACAUAUGGGUGGCGAGUGGCGGACGGGUGAGUAACGCGUGGGAAUCUGCCCUAUAGUGGGGGACAACCCGACGAAAGUCGGGCUAAUACCGCAUACGCCUACGGGGGAAAGGCUUCGGCCGCUAUUGGAUGAGCCCGCGUCGGAUUAGCUAGUUGGUGAGGUAAUGGCUCACCAAGGCGACGAUCCGUAGCUGGUCUGAGAGGACGAUCAGCCACACUGGGACUGAGACACGGCCCAGACUCCUACGGGAGGCAGCAGUGGGGAAUAUUGCACAAUGGGCGAAAGCCUGAUGCAGCAAUGCCGCGUGUGUGAAGAAGGCCUGCGGGUUGUAAAGCACUUUCGGUAGGGAAGAUAAUGACGGUACCUACAGAAGAAGCACCGGCUAACUCCGUGCCAGCAGCCGCGGUAAU
RNAcentral lists this ribosomal RNA (471 nucleotides) under uncultured bacterium. RNAcentral describes it as "bacterial SSU rRNA". It matches the Rfam family "Bacterial small subunit ribosomal RNA", at positions 29 to 524 of the family's 1533-position model. The record is from RNAcentral.